Molecule: non-coding RNA, 722 nt
Organism: Elaeis guineensis (African oil palm)
Lineage: Eukaryota; Viridiplantae; Streptophyta; Magnoliopsida; Arecales; Arecaceae
Source: RefSeq, a predicted model, not a curated record
UACAUACAUACAUACAUACAUACAUAUAUAUAUAUAUAUAUUGUUAACUUGGGAGAGGGUGGUGUUUGUUUCUCAAAUGAUGAUUCCACCUGUCAUCAUCAAGAUCAUUUCUCUUUGCUAUUCUCCACUAUAUUCCCAAAUUGUGCACAUAGAUUCUAUUCAUUUCAGCAUGGAUAUUUUAUAUCAAAUUCAUCCAAAAAGCAGUAUUAUUAUUAUUGUUGUUGUUGUUGUUGUUUUUUUUUUUUUUUCUCAGGAACAUGGCAGCAAACUUGUUGAGAGAUGAGAUUUAGUGAUUUUAUUAAUGCUCCUAUUUCUUGCAGGUUGAUGGUUGUGUAUCAUAUAAUGAUGAAGUAUUUAAAAUGGAACUAACCCCACCACAAAGAAAGAUCAAGAUGAAGAACAAUCGUUGGAUAGUGUGCAGCAGUUCUCAAAUCCUCGCAAGAGGUGGUCCAGUCUUUUUUUUUUUUUCAGUUUACAAUCUUGAGGUUUAUCAUAACCACGAGGGUUUAAAUUGAAAUUUAGCCAUUUGUAUAAUGUGCAAAGACAUGAUGGAGUGUAUUGUAGAUCAAUUCGAGCUCUUCUAUUGCUUAAUAUUGCCUUGGUGCAUCUACCCAUCGGGGGAAAAAAAUUUGUUGAGUCUUGUUUUAAGCUAAAUUCAUUGUUAAAGUGAAGUGUCUUAUUGACUAAAGUCAUUAAAAAUUCAAUUCAAUUAUUGGUGCAAU